GCCGGGGUGGUGGAAUUGGUAGACACCUGAGACUUAAAAUCUCAUGGAAGAAAUUCCGUGCCGGUUCGAGUCCGGUCCCCGGCACCA
RNAcentral lists this transfer RNA (87 nucleotides) under Staphylococcus sp. RNAcentral describes it as "tRNA-Leu". It matches the Rfam family "tRNA". From Rfam's summary of the family: Transfer RNA (tRNA) molecules are approximately 80 nucleotides in length. Their secondary structure includes four short double-helical elements and three loops (D, anti-codon, and T loops). The record is from RNAcentral. RNAcentral also lists the same sequence under 2 other names. Lineage: Bacteria; Bacillati; Bacillota; Bacilli; Caryophanales; Staphylococcaceae.